GACGUAGGGGGCCAGCGUUGUUCGGAAUUACUGGGUGUAAAGGGUUCGUAGGCGGUGCGGCAAGUUGGGAGUGAAAUCUCUGGGCUUAACCCAGAGGCUGCUUCCAAAACUGCUGUGCUUGAGUGUGGGAGAGGCGCGUGGAAUUCCCGGUGUAGCGGUGAAAUGCGCAGAUAUCGGGAGGAACACCUAUGGCGAAGGCAGCUCGCUGGGACGUUACUGACGCUGAGACGCGAAAGCGUGGGGAGCAAACAGG
Molecule: ribosomal RNA, 253 nt
Filed under: uncultured bacterium
Lineage: Bacteria
Description: partial 16S ribosomal RNA
Rfam family: Bacterial small subunit ribosomal RNA
Source: RNAcentral